CAGGAACCCUAACCCCAUCCGCCUCAAUCCCUCCCGUUCUAGAAACCCCGAUGAGCACCCUACCCUGCCAAAUCGCCACUCCAUCCACCCUUCUUCGCUGCAUCAAGUCCAAAAUCCUGUCAUUCGCCCCAAUGAUUGGAAAGUGGUUUCUCGAAAGAAUCCGAAACCCGCAUUUUCAGCUACCCUUUCCACCUAUUUCUCCCUAUUCAUCGGCAACACCUACAAUGGGAAGAUAGCAGACAACUACAUACCCUGGAACCCCACCUUCAGGAGACCUCACAACUACGCCUUCAUCCGUUUCCUGUACGGAGAUGACGUGCGCGCGGCUAUGGGUUUCCUUGAUGGGAAGAUGGUGGACGGAAGGAUUUGGGGAAUCUCCUGGGCUAAACCCAGGGUUCCUCCCUCUCCCACCAGAUCAGAGCCCCUCAAUGAAGACUCCAACUCAAGGGCAUCUCCUGCUCAAACGCUGAGCACCGGCCGCUCCGUUGAUGUAGCCUAAGGCCCUACCAGAUCUGCAUCUGAACCCACCAAUCUGCCCAAGUCUCCAACCAGAAAUGCAUCCAUCCCCAUCAGUGCAAGCCCUCCUUCGGCAGCCGCGCAUCUGGUGCAUGCAGAUUCUAAGGAGGUCCGAGAAAAGCUAUGAGAUCUGAGCCUCGCCUUGGUGGGGUAUGCCUCCAAAAGUGACCUGUCCAUCAGCCAUUUGGUUAAAUGCCUCAAUGACUCAAGGAUGGCCAUUUAAGAGUUUUCAAGUGGCUAGUAUGGAAGUCCUUGAUCAGCCUGCUGUCCAUGCCUCUGUGAAAGAUUUAGAUUUCAGGAUUAAGAAACACAUCAUUUGCAGGUUAGUUCUCAUUACACAAACUGUAUACGUAAGGCAAUAAAUUUUGUUAACUUGACAUGUUCGACAAAAUGCCAGUCUUCUACUAGUUGUAAUAAAUAAAGGAAGAUUGAUUAUGAACAUUGUACAUUUAUUCUUCUAUAGACAUGAACACAUAGUUAUAUAAAGUUUGCUACUAGUAUGCUUAUCUGUGUCCUUUUUUCUUUUUUCCUUCCACAGACAAGCACACAAAUACAUAUAUAUUAAUUUAUAUAUUGUAUAUUGAAACCUCUAACAGUCUAUCGAUGAUCACAAUAC
Magnolia sinica is the source of this 1132-nucleotide long non-coding RNA. RefSeq lists it as uncharacterized. Lineage: Eukaryota; Viridiplantae; Streptophyta; Magnoliopsida; Magnoliales; Magnoliaceae. The transcript is spliced from 3 exons. The record is from RefSeq and is a predicted model, not a curated record.